This 301-nucleotide ribosomal RNA is filed under the name uncultured bacterium. Its description in RNAcentral is "partial 16S ribosomal RNA". It matches the Rfam family "Bacterial small subunit ribosomal RNA", at positions 509 to 807 of the family's 1533-position model. The record is from RNAcentral.
CAGCCGCCGCGGUAAUACGUAGGUGGCAAGCGUUGUCCGGAAUUAUUGGGCGUAAAGGGCUCGCAGGCGGUUUCUUAAGUCUGAUGUGAAAGCCCCCGGCUCAACCGGGGAGGGUCAUUGGAAACUGGGAAACUUGAGUGCAGAAGAGGAGAGUGGAAUUCCACGUGUAGCGGUGAAAUGCGUAGAGAUGUGGAGGAACACCAGUGGCGAAGGCGACUCUCUGGUCUGUAACUGACGCUGAGGAGCGAAAGUGUGGGGAGCGAACAGGAUUAGAUACCCCUGUAGUCCCUGUCUCUUAUAC